Long non-coding RNA from Saccostrea cuccullata (small rock oyster), 1432 nucleotides. RefSeq lists it as uncharacterized. Lineage: Eukaryota; Metazoa; Mollusca; Bivalvia; Ostreida; Ostreidae. The transcript has 2 exons. The record is from RefSeq and is a predicted model, not a curated record.
GUUACUAAACACGAAAAAAUGUUAAUUUAAAAAAAAUCUGUCUCAGGAAUUUAUCACGAUACAUUGACUCAGACCUUUUAAUUUAAGGAAUAACUGUCUUAUUUUUCGAUUUCAUGACGUAAUCAAUCGAUUGGCUUGCGUGAUAAUUUGCAUAAACGCCGAAGCCCUGUCUCCCCUUUAUUUGUAAGUUAGUUUCAUAACUGAUGUCACAAUGCGUCAGACGACAUCAAAACAAUAGAUGAUUCUCUAAGUAUCUUCGCUCGUUAUGAAGAUAAUACUAUGUUUUCCACUAUCGAUGAUGUGCUUGCAUAUAAAAAUAAUUACACAGUGAUUCCAUAAAUAAAAUCAAUAAAUGUUUCCUUAGUUCUCCUGCCGAAUGACAUAACUUUAUUUUGUUAAAAAAAGGCAAACAUGUAUUCAUAAAAAGACAGUAACUUGACAUUUUUAUUUAAUUUGGAAGGAUAUUUCUUUGCUUGGUAUGAUAUGAAGGAAAAUAACUUUUUAGACGGAUGAUUUAAUAACCUUAAAUAAAAUAUCGCCAAGAAUUAUAUCAUGUAUUUUUGGUCACAUGUUUCAACUUUUUAGAAAGAGAGUUUUAUAUGCCAUAUUUUUAUUAGGUAAAAAUAUAUAAUUAAAUGAUUGGUGAAAAGAGUACGAGAUAUAUGGUGUAACUUUUUUUUUCAUUUUAGCAAUCAACCAAUCUUUGGAGUGUAAAGCAACUACGGUACAUGUAUCUCUGUAUGUGGUUGUUGCAGCUCUCUUUACAAGUGUUUUGCUCAACAUAAUUUUUGUUGUUCGAAAUGCCAGAAAACAAAUCCUGAACAAGGCAAAUGAGGAGGGGAAUGCAACGAGAGAUGCAAAAGAAUAUAUACUUGACAGAAUUGAAGAUACAGAUCAAGAACUCGGACAAUUUAAAUAUUCCAUCUUGGAAUGACAGAGGAGAAGAUGAUGGAGACUAUGCGGAACUCGAAUUGUGCCAACCCUCUCCACAUGAUGAAUUACGCGAUUAUAGUCAAGGUUUGACCAUCUGUGUAUUGCCUUGGGUUUUGGGGGCUUCUUGCGACAAAUUGUAAAUGAUGCCAUCGGAAGGACAGGUGUAUAUAUCGGAGCAAAGCUUUAUCCAAGUUCUGAUUGAACUUGGUUUUGUGACUGCAAUUUAUUUUCCAUUUUAUUUCUUUUAUAUUUUAAAUUGAACAUUUAUAUAUAUAUACAUUCAAUAUAUCCCUGUUUUUCUUGAUGAAAAGAUUUCGAAACUUCAAUUUACAUGUAAAUAAAGAAAAUGUUUUAGUUAUAUACAUAAGAGAGAGAGAGAGAGAGAGAGAGAGAGAGAGAGUUCUUACUGUCAAUAAUAUUUUUAUGUAAAAAAUAUAUUAGUAGUUGCCUUUUGUUUGCUAUUUUGCCUUUGAAUAAUUAAAGAAAAUAAUUAUUUAAA